Dioscorea cayenensis subsp. rotundata (Guinea yam) is the source of this 107-nucleotide small nucleolar RNA. The record is from RefSeq and is a predicted model, not a curated record. Lineage: Eukaryota; Viridiplantae; Streptophyta; Magnoliopsida; Dioscoreales; Dioscoreaceae.
AGUCCAUGAUGGAGGCACAACCUUAAUAAUUCUUUAAAUUUGUCCCAGGCAUCACAUAAAGACUCUCAUUGCUUUUUAAGAAAAAUUAGUAAUCUGAUUUCGAAGUU